Long non-coding RNA from Notolabrus celidotus (New Zealand spotty), 735 nucleotides. RefSeq lists it as uncharacterized. The transcript has 3 exons. NCBI's taxonomy places the organism in Eukaryota, Metazoa, Chordata, Actinopteri, Labriformes, Labridae. The record is from RefSeq and is a predicted model, not a curated record.
CUCUGUAUGUGGGGCGCUUAGACCGCUAGGCCACCAGCGCCCCUCCGCCUUUGUUUUGACAGACAUUAUUUGAAGACGCACUUUCAAUCGGCUUUUCUAGUUUUCUCAUUGAACUCCUGAGCAUUAAAGAAAGUCGGUAACGGUAAGUCAGUACGGCGCACAGUGGACGCAGACUGCAGCUGUAUGAGAGCUACUGUUAUUCUGAGUCCUAAAGAUCCAGAGAAACUGUUGUUACCAAGUCCCACUAGUUAUCUCAGUUUGUUGGCAUGAGCUCAGAUUGUACGCCCCUGCACCGCCAGGUGUGGCUCAGUGCAGCUGCAUGCAGACACACCUGUGGGCAAUCCCAAUCUGUGCAACUACAUAAACCUGGUCCUCCUGCCACUUCAGUGCCGGAUUAUUCCUUCGCCACUGCCAUCGCCCAGCACACAGGGUUUUUCCCCAGGCCAGCGUCUGGAGCCAGCAUCCUGGAUUUUCUGUUUUCUUUAGUUUUGUGUGUAAUAAACUGACUGAAUUCUCCACUUUGUCUCCGUCUCAGCUCUGGGUCCCCACAACUGGGAGCACACCCUGACAUUAAAACUGCGAACGCACAGAUUUUAAACUCAGAUGUUAAUUCUACAAGCUGUCAUGUUCUAAAUUGAGUCAUUACUGUCAAUUAACAAAGAACGAGACAUAAAUAAACCAAACAGAACAGGAUGGGAUCAUCAUCCAUAUGUUAUAAAAGACUGGUCGAAUUUU